UCCAAGAGUACCUUGAGUUUCAGCGGCAACAAGGACAGAAUCUGGACCCCUAACAUACCCUGCCAUAGAACUUGCUGCUUUUAGGUACAUAGCUUGACUAUGUUAAUUCGAUCCGGUGGAUUUUAAAUUUGGAUGCUAAGAAAAAUCUGUAUCCUUGCAGUGGUAGCCAUCUGAAAGCGACAUAACAAAGUCAGUAGACGUGUGUUGAAUCAUGGAUGACAUUCUUGGAAUUUUUAUUUUAUUUUAACCCUUUGUAAUCAAUAUCUUAAUACUUAAUAAACACUCCUAGCUUUUCUUAAAACUAACCCUUGAGCCAAGGUGUGUGGCCGCUGCGCCACAUGCACCACGGCACUACGGCAGGAGUGCCACCCUAGUGCAGCUUGCUAGCUAGUGUUGAAGCUUUGCGUUUCACCAAGCUGUGCCGAGCUGCCUGCUGUUCCCAUGCUGAAAUGCGACGAUUUUGGCCACCCCUUGUGGUGUUGUAGUUGGUGUUUUUUUUUUUUUUGGGGGGGGGGGGGGGGGAGAUCCCUUCGAUUCGUGUUUCUUGGUCAUAUUCGGUAGUUUGACCUCACUCACCUAGGAUUAUACAAUGGUUUUGAAUGUCUAAGAGCAACUCUAGCUACUAGAUUGAGAAAACUUAGUCCCCCUAUAUAUCAGGUUAAAAGGGGACUGAAAAACUAACACUCUAAACUAUGGGGAAGAUGUGCUCCAACAGAUUGAGAAAUCUUCACCCCCGAUAUAUAUAGGACUCACAUGUCAGUUGAUAAAAAAGAAAUCACUUUGCUUUCCUCUCCUUCCUCCGCAGCGACAACAGCGGCACGGAGGAGCAGUGCAUGAUGGCAGCCUACCUAGAGGAGCGACAGCAUGGUGACAUCUUGUUUAGACAAAGCGGUGCACGGUAGCCGGUGGCCUGGAAGACGAAGCAUGGUGGCAGCCAGCCCCCAAGAGCAAUGGCGUGCAAUGGGAGGUGAUCGUGUUGUGUGGCUCAGUGUGUGAUAGAAAAGAAAAAGGGAUGGAUUGCUCUCUCAUUUCUUUGAGGGACUGAGAGGAUGAGAUUUUUUUUAGAGGAACAAUAUAGAAAAAGGGGAUCCUCUUUUUACAAGAAUAUAGGGAAAGAGACCACUUUCUCAAUCAGGUAGAGAGUUGCUCUAGCAAUGGAACAAAAGAUUGGGUAGAUUGAAGGACCGAAAGCGGCGACCAGAGGGGGGUGAAUGGGAGCCUCAAAUUUCCUUUAGAAAUAUUUUUGGCCACUGUCCCAAAUCACCGCCAAACACAAACAAGUACCCAAAACUAAAUUACUCAGGCCAAUUAGUGACAAGAGUAAUUAGAUAAAUUCCUCACAACGAUAGAAAGCUAACGCUACAGACGGAACUUAAAACGGAGCUCAAACGACUAAGCUGCACAUAAAACAGAAAAUCAAAGCCUGAAAAAUUAACCAGAAAAUCCCCUGAAAAACGAUCAUCAAGGAAUACAGAGAGAUAGCAUGUCAACCUGAGGCUGUCGAAUCUGCACAACUGGGUGCUCACGUGCUCUGCUCAUACCACUUACAGAAAGAAAUAAGAAUAAAUUCACAAUCGUAAAAACCACUCUCAGCAAGAAGGGUAAAAUUUAAUACUCCAAAAUAAACUAACGAACCUACAAGAAGUUCACGGAAGCAAGAGCAAAUUCCUCGAUCAAUCAAAAACUGAGACUCAAAAGCAAUCACCGAUAGGACAUACAACUAUAGGAAAAAGGGUCCAAGGUUUGCACUGGAGAUCUUCACCGCUUAAACUGAAAGCUGAAAUCAUGCCCUGCACAGAUCGGUGGAUGAGCGCUCACCUGGCCUGCUUCUGGAGAUCGACUGAGUCACAGACUCGAGCACAAGAAUCAAGCAGACACAGAGAGAAGCGCUGGGACAAGUUUGUUCACGCCAGCAGAGAGGAGAUCGAACCUGAUCAAAACAAGAACACCUGCAAGAACUUGGGAGUAGCACGGGUCUGCUCGUGCUCACAAGCCUGGAGCCACGGACGAGCCCCGGCCCCGACGGGCCUAUUCCCCGUGCAGACGGAUUGCCUGGAACUGAGGCAACGCUGCUCAAUCGAGCACACACGGCGUCGAGCGCUCGGCGUUGGUAGCGUUGCUGUCUGAUCCCAUGAGUCUACCAAAUCACGAGCAGGAGAACAGACGCACAAACAGAAGAAUAAACAAAAACAGCAGCACCCACACAAUCGAUGAAAUCCAACUCAAAUCAAAAGGACUCGCUCCUAAACUUUGCACAAAUGAAAUUUACCUAGGCACGAACUCAUCUCUAAAGAAUCAUUACCUGAGAUUAACUCAAACUCCAGGAAAUCGAGAUCUUAGCCAAGAACGAAAAAGCUUCUUCAGGACGAAAAACAGGACACAGACAACAACGAAAAUCACAGGCUUAAGUUAGGAAUCCUAAAGGACAAAAGGAGGAUUUGGGCCUCCAUUCCCACUCCAAAACCAACACAAAUACUACGAAUUUUACCAGUUCAUGAAUCUCCAGAACUCAAAGAAAAAUAAGCUAAAACCUAGAGAGAAAAGAAAAACUGCCUGUUGGCAGAGAGGUGGAAAGAGAUAGGUGGGGAGAGAGUUGGGGAGGUAGGGAACUCCCCCGGUUUAUUUAUCAGGCAUAUUACAUAUUCUCCAAAUAUUCCU
Molecule: long non-coding RNA, 2658 nt
Filed under: Sorghum bicolor (sorghum)
Lineage: Eukaryota; Viridiplantae; Streptophyta; Magnoliopsida; Poales; Poaceae
Description: long non-coding RNA (SBIC_LNC001503)
Source: RNAcentral